This 396-nucleotide ribosomal RNA is filed under the name uncultured bacterium. RNAcentral describes it as "partial 16S ribosomal RNA". It matches the Rfam family "Bacterial small subunit ribosomal RNA", at positions 362 to 775 of the family's 1533-position model. The record is from RNAcentral.
UAUUGCACAAUGGGGGAAACCCUGAUGCAGCGACGCCGCGUGAGUGAAGAAGUAUUUCGGCUNGUAAAGCUCUAUCAGCAGGGAANNCANNNCNGGUACCUGACUAAGAAGCCCCGGCUAACUACGUCCCNNNAGCCCCGGUAAUACGUAGGGGGCAAGCGUUAUCCGGAUUUACUGGGUGUAAAGGGAGCGUAGACGGCAGCACAAGUCUGGAGUGAAAUGCCGGGGCUUAACCCCGGAACUGCUUUGGAAACUGUGCAGCUAGAGUGCAGGAGAGGUAAGUGGAAUUCCUAGUGUAGCGGUGAAAUGCGUAGAUAUUAGGAGGAACACCAGUGGCGAAGGCGGCUUACUGGACUGUAACUGACGUUGAGGCUCGAAAGCGUGGGGAGCAAACAG